CCUACGGGAGGCAGCAGUGGGGAAUCUUGCGCAAUGGGCGAAAGCCUGACGCAGCAACGCCGCGUGGGGGAAGAAGGCCUUAGGGUUGUAAACCUCUGUCGGGAGGGACGAAGCCACCUGCGUUAAUAGCGUAAGGGGUGACGGUACCUUCAAGGGAAGCCCCGGCUAACUACGUGCCAGCAGCCGCGGUAAUACGUAGGGGGCAAGCGUUGUCCGGAUUUAUUGGGCGUAAGGAGCGUGUAGGCGGCCUGUCAAGUCCGAUGUGAAAUCUUGCGGCUUAACCGCAAGCCUGCAUUGGAAACUGUCAGGCUAGAGUCUGGAUGAGGAAGGUGGAAUUCCUGGUGUAGCGGUGAAAUGCGCAGAUAUCAGGAGGAACACCGGUGGCGAAGGCGGCCUUCUAGGACAGUACUGACGCUGAGACGCGAAAGCGUGGGGAGCAAACAGGAUUAGAUACCCUGGUAGUCACGCUGUAAACGAUGGACACUAGGUGUUGGGGGUGUUGACUCCCUCAGUGCCGUACUAACGCAUUAAGUGUCCGCCUGGGGAGUACGGCCGCAAGGCUAAAACUCAAAGGAAUUGACGG
This 583-nucleotide ribosomal RNA is filed under the name uncultured bacterium. RNAcentral's name for it is "bacterial SSU rRNA". It matches the Rfam family "Bacterial small subunit ribosomal RNA", at positions 338 to 916 of the family's 1533-position model. The record is from RNAcentral.